CCUAGACGGGGAUUGGGAGACAUGCAAGUGGCUUGGCUUCCUAUUACCUUGUGUUGAAAACACAAUAGGCUUUGGAAUCAGGAGUUCAUUCCAGUUAUUUUAAUGUUAUUUACUAGCAGUGUGCCCUCGUGCACGUUAUCAAACUCCUCUGACUCUUGAAAUCCUCAUUUUUCAAUAAUAACUCACAAAGCUGGCAAGCCUAAGGGAUCUAACAGCUUGAACAGCACCUGGAACAGAAGCAAUAGCCGCCACUCAGAGGUUACUUCUUCCUUCUCCACCUUCUCUGGAUCACCUCCCUACCUCAUCCUCAAUCUAACGCUGGGAAUAUUGCAUAUGGGGUUCUUCAAUCUCAAAUCAAAUAAUCUGUAGAGUCCCCUCCAGCUCCGAAAUUCUCUCUAUGUCUUGGAGUGUGUGGAAUAGCCAGGAAACCAGCCCAGGAGCUUUGACUCCCAGCCAUUCUCCCAUGCUCCAGAUGGAGGGAGAAAGUGCACACAGGCACACCAAAGCCACAGGGACACAA
Long non-coding RNA from Nomascus leucogenys (northern white-cheeked gibbon), 520 nucleotides. RefSeq lists it as uncharacterized. NCBI's taxonomy places the organism in Eukaryota, Metazoa, Chordata, Mammalia, Primates, Hylobatidae. The record is from RefSeq and is a predicted model, not a curated record. The transcript has 3 exons.